GAAAAGUUGCUGACUCCUUUCUCCAUGGAAAGAGCAUGCUUCUCUACUCUUAUGUGAUGGCCAUAUUAGGCACGUGAGGGACUAAAUCCAUCAAAAAUUCACAGCUUCUAACUCCAAACAUGGUGGCUGACUAGAAUUUGAAAUUCAAAACUCAAAGAUCCCGUCUAAACUUGAAGCCCUAAUAUUUAUAUAUAAAUAUUGGCGUUUGGGAUCCACAAACGGGGGAUUUUUUUGGCAGCCGCAACACAUACGACUGGUGGAGCUUUUACUCUUUAUUUCUCCCUAAAAAAUAUAUUGGUUCAAGUUGUUUUGUCUUAGGGGUGAGCGGAUUUUCUUUCUGUUGGUCAUCUGUUUGGUCUUUAAAGGUUUCUUUUAGCCACCUCUUUACUUGAAAACUUCUUUAAUCCAUUUUUCGGGUUGUUCCGAGAGUAGAGAAUAGAUCCGAGACCCGCGUCUCACGUUCACUGCCCCGCAAAUGGUACAUCCAAUUUCCUUUGUCCUUUGUUUUAUUUUAUUUUUAUUUUUAUGAUAAAGUGAUGUGUGUAUUCUUAAAAAGAACUUGUGUACUGCGAGAUUCUAUUUAGCUAUAACAAAAUCAUGUCAAAGUUAGUUUGUCUAUCUAUAGUAAAACUAUGUUUAAAUGUUUCUGCCCCUUAGUUUGGACCUUGCAAAAUAACGUUAUUUCACUGUUUUGCUUUUAUUAGAUAAUAGUUGCAUUGAAUCAGUUUCUUUUUAUGUUAUUAGCUUGUUUGUUGUCUUUAAGGAUGAAAUUUGACACAGAUUAUGCACUUCUUUGUUUAAAAUAAUUUGGUCAAGGAAGAUGUUUUCUUUUCCUAAAAAAGGCAAUCUUUCUCUAACAAAACUUAAAACAUGAUUUACACCCCUGUAGCCUUAAUCCGUAUUCCAUAUGCACACGUAUCUUUUGAAGUCUUUGUCAUAUAUUUUGAAGUCCUUGUACGUAUGUAAUUUAUUUCCAGGAGAAUUCUUUAUAUCAUAUUCUUAGGAGUAUCAAUCUCCAUUUUUUUUAAAAGAGAUGUUUGCUUAGCUUAGUUCAAUAUUAAAUAUUAGGCAGACUUUUGUUUAUUCUCUAAUGGAGUGGGCUUUCUUUUUACUUACUUAUUUUUGUACUUUACGUGCAUAUACAAAUACAAUUCGUUUGCAGGAACAUUUUUGUGCAUGUCAUACAUAUUAUCCCUCUAAAAAGGGCAUAAGUUACAUUUCUUUAUCCAUGCUUUUGAUUCGUGGGAUUUUUUAAAAUUUCAACUUGAUGUAUUUGGAGAUUAGUUGUGCAUAAAAGGCAUGUGGUGUUGUGAUUUAUCUAUUUUAUUUAAAUUUAUCUAGUUUGAAAUUCAUAGAUCCUAGCUUUUGAACAUUACAUUUAUCGGUGACUUUAUUUGUAUUUUUUAAGCUGGAUCAUCGUACUAAUUUUUAUCUUCUUUUUAUUUUUGCAUGAACACUCCGGAGCAAAAUGGAGUCUUAAUUCAAGACUCUCACUAAGAGAAUCUCAAAAAUGAGACUCGACGUUAUCCCUCAUCCGGUCAAGAAGUUACAUUUUAUACUCUAAGUCAAACUUGUUAGCAGUCUAGUGCGUCUUUCCUAUCUCCGAGUUUUAUUUUCCUAUAUACGCUUGCUAUUGUAUUUCACUCACAUAUUUUGCAUAUUAUUGUUGUUUUGAAUUUGUGUCUUGUGUGCUUGAACUCAUUGGUAAAGGUCUUUCAAAUAUAUUUAGCAAAUUUAGCUUGUUCCUCUCCCCGUUUUUUUUUUAGAUAUUAAAAUUAGCAUAAUCUCUAGGCUUCGGUAUAUAAUUCAUAUUGUUUGAGAUUAAAACUUGAUAGGCGAAAAUAUAUCUUAGAGUUUAAUGGCCUAGUUAUUAGAGAGUUUUUUUUCCUUUAGAUUCAAGUUAGUCUUACUAAUUAGUAAUAUGGAAUUUAUAAAGUAUAAUUUUUGCGGUAGACAAAUUUAUCAUCGCUAGACUCGAAGACCGGAUUUAAUAAUCUUAGAUUUGGUAAAUCAACCUUUCAUCAAGUUCAAAUAUAAGAUGGCAACAUUGCCAAACCAACUACGCAAGGCUUUUUUUUGGAAUUUCAAAUGACAAGAAAAAUAUUUUAUUUGUUUAUUUAGUUGUAUCGUG
Molecule: long non-coding RNA, 2131 nt
Filed under: Capsicum annuum
Lineage: Eukaryota; Viridiplantae; Streptophyta; Magnoliopsida; Solanales; Solanaceae
Description: long non-coding RNA (CANN_LNC011348)
Source: RNAcentral